UAUUAGGUUGGUGCAAAAGUAAUUGCAGUUUUUGCCAAUAACUUUUAAUGGCAAAAACCCCAAUUAUUUUUGCAUCAACCUAAUACUUA
RNAcentral lists this microRNA precursor (89 nucleotides) under Cebus imitator (Panamanian white-faced capuchin). RNAcentral describes it as "miRNA (ENSCCAG00000011392.1)". The record is from RNAcentral. Lineage: Eukaryota; Metazoa; Chordata; Mammalia; Primates; Cebidae.